CCUACGGGGGGCUGCAGUGGGGAAUAUUGCACAAUGGGCGCAAGCCUGAUGCAGCCAUGCCGCGUGUGUGAAGAAGGCCUUCGGGUUGUAAAGCACUUUCAGCGGGGAGGAAGGCGUUGAGGUUAAUAACCUCAUCGAUUGACGUUACCCGCAGAAGAAGCACCGGCUAACUCCGUGCCAGCAGCCGCGGUAAUACGGAGGGUGCAAGCGUUAAUCGGAAUUACUGGGCGUAAAGCGCACGCAGGCGGUCUGUCAAGUCGGAUGUGAAAUCCCCGGGCUCAACCUGGGAACUGCAUUCGAAACUGGCAGGCUAGAGUCUUGUAGAGGGGGGUAGAAUUCCAGGUGUAGCGGUGAAAUGCGUAGAGAUCUGGAGGAAUACCGGUGGCGAAGGCGGCCCCCUGGACAAAGACUGACGCUCAGGUGCGAAAGCGUGGGGAGCAAACAGGAUUAGAUACCCGGGUAGUC
This 465-nucleotide ribosomal RNA is filed under the name uncultured Klebsiella sp. RNAcentral's name for it is "bacterial SSU rRNA". It matches the Rfam family "Bacterial small subunit ribosomal RNA", at positions 338 to 795 of the family's 1533-position model. The record is from RNAcentral. Lineage: Bacteria; Pseudomonadati; Pseudomonadota; Gammaproteobacteria; Enterobacterales; Enterobacteriaceae.